Molecule: ribosomal RNA, 450 nt
Filed under: uncultured Glomeromycotina
Lineage: Eukaryota; Fungi; Glomeromycota
Description: SSU rRNA
Rfam family: Eukaryotic small subunit ribosomal RNA
Source: RNAcentral
AGCAGCCGCGGUAAUUCCAGCUCCAAUAGCGUAUAUUAAAGUUGUUGCAGUUAAAAAGCUCGUAGUUGAAUUUCGGGAUCAAUUUAUUGGUCGUGCCAACGGUACGUACUGGUACAAUUGGUUUCUCCCUUCUGACGAAGCAUGAUGUCAUUAACUUGAUGUCGUGGGGAAUCAGGACUGUUACUUUGAAAAAUUAGAGUGUUUAAAGCAGGCUUUGGCUUGAAUACAUUAGCAUGGAAUAAUGAAAUAGGACGUUUGAUCUUAUUUCGUUGGUUUCUAAGAUCGACGUAAUGAUUAAUAGGGAUAGUUGGGGGCAUUAGUAUUCAAUUGUCAGAGGUGAAAUUCUUGGAUUUAUUGAAGACUAACUACUGCGAAAGCAAUUUGCCAAGGAUGUUUUCAUUAAUCAAGAACGAAAGUUAGGGGAUCGAAGACGAUCAGAUACCGUCGUAG